Acanthosepion pharaonis is the source of this 113-nucleotide non-coding RNA. The record is from the annotation of a GenBank genome assembly. NCBI's taxonomy places the organism in Eukaryota, Metazoa, Mollusca, Cephalopoda, Sepiida, Sepiidae.
UAGGGCCAUAUCAUGUUGAAACACCGGUUCUCAUACGAUUAUCGGAGUUAAGCAACAUCGUGGCUGUUCAGUAUUUAGAUGGGUGACAACUUGGGUAUAACAGGUGCCGUAUG